This 397-nucleotide ribosomal RNA is filed under the name uncultured bacterium. RNAcentral describes it as "bacterial SSU rRNA". It matches the Rfam family "Bacterial small subunit ribosomal RNA", at positions 29 to 417 of the family's 1533-position model. The record is from RNAcentral.
AAUGAACGCUGGCGGCAUGCUUUACACAUGCAAGUCGAGCGGCAGCGCGGGGGCAACCCUGGCGGCGAGCGGCGAACGGGUGAGUAAUACAUCGGAACGUACCCCGUAGUGGGGGAUAACCCGGCGAAAGCCGGACUAAUACCGCAUAUGCUCUACGGAGGAAAGUGGGGGACCCUGCAGGCAACUGAGGGGCCUCAUGCUAUGGGAGCGGCCGAUGUCCGAUUAGCNGUUGGCGGGGUAAAGGCCCACCAAGGCGACGAUCGGUAGCUGGUCUGAGAGGAUGAUCAGCCACACUGGGACUGAGACACGGCCCAGACUCCUACGGGAGGCAGCAGUGGGGAAUUUUGGACAAUGGGGCAACCCUGAUCCAGCCAUGCCGCGUGCGGGAAGAAGGCCU